GCGUCGUAUUCAGAAAUCGACCGGCUGACUCUUAAUCAGUUGGUCCCGGGUUCGAAUCCUGGUGCGGGCACCA
Molecule: transfer RNA, 73 nt
Filed under: Chloroflexota bacterium
Lineage: Bacteria; Bacillati; Chloroflexota
Description: Chloroflexi bacterium tRNA-Lys
Source: RNAcentral